CCUACGGGAGGCAGCAGUGGGGAAUAUUGGGCAAUGGGCGCAAGCCUGACCCAGCAACGCCGCGUGAAGGAAGAAGGCUUUCGGGUUGUAAACUUCUUUUCUCAGGGACGAAGAAAGUGACGGUACCUGAGGAAUAAGCCACGGCUAACUACGUGCCAGCAGCCGCGGUAAUACGUAGGUGGCAAGCGUUAUCCGGAUUUAUUGGGGGUAAAGGGCGUGUAGGCGGGAGCGCAAGUCAGAUGUGAAAACCCAGGGCUCAACCCGGAGCCUGCAUUUGAAACUGUGUUUCUUGAGUGCUGGAGAGGCAAUCGGAAUUCCGGGUGUAGCGGUGGAAUGCGUAGAUAUACGGAGGAACACCAGAGGCGAAGGCGGAUUGCUGGACUGUAACUGACGCUGAGGCGCGAAAGCGUGGGGAGCAAACAGGAUUAGAUACCCUUGUAGUC
RNAcentral lists this ribosomal RNA (443 nucleotides) under uncultured bacterium. RNAcentral describes it as "partial 16S ribosomal RNA". It matches the Rfam family "Bacterial small subunit ribosomal RNA", at positions 338 to 795 of the family's 1533-position model. The record is from RNAcentral.